This 64-nucleotide transfer RNA is filed under the name Tanna japonensis. RNAcentral's name for it is "tRNA-Ile". The record is from RNAcentral. Lineage: Eukaryota; Metazoa; Arthropoda; Insecta; Hemiptera; Cicadidae.
AAUAAGAUGCCUGAUAAAAGGAUUAUUUUGAUAGAAUAAAUUAUGUAUAUUAUUACUCUUAUUA